GGGUUGUGAGGUUAAGCGACUAAGCGUACACGGUGGAUGCCCUGGCAGUCAGAGGCGAUGAAGGGCGUGCUAAUCUGCGAUAAGCGCCGGUAAGGUGAUAUGAACCGUUAUAACCGGCGAUACCCGAAUGGGGAAACCCAGUGUGAUUCGUCACACUAUCAUUAACUGAAUCCAUAGGUUAAUGAGGCGAACCGGGGGAACUGAAACAUCUAAGUACCCCGAGGAAAAGAAAUCAACCGAGAUUCCCCCAGUAGCGGCGAGCGAACGGGGAGGAGCCCAGAGCCUGAAUCAGCAUGUGUGUUAGUGGAAGCGUCUGGAAAGGCGCGCGAUACAGGGUGACAGCCCCGUACACAAAAGCGCAUGUGCUGUGAGCUCGAUGAGUAGGGCGGGACACGUGGUAUCCUGUCUGAAUAUGGGGGGACCAUCCUCCAAGGCUAAAUACUCCUGACUGACCGAUAGUGAACCAGUACCGUGAGGGAAAGGCGAAAAGAACCCCGGCGAGGGGAGUGAAAAAGAACCUGAAACCGUGUACGUACAAGCAGUGGGAGCCCCACCACCAAAGCAUUCUCUGGUGUUGAAGGCCCUGCAAAGCAGCAUCGCGGUGGCGGAGCGUCGUUUGCGACGCCCAACACACAAAACAAGCGGUGAAUGCUUUGGGGUGGGGUGACUGCGUACCUUUUGUAUAAUGGGUCAGCGACUUAUAUUCUGUAGCAAGGUUAACCGAAUAGGGGAGCCGGAGGGAAACCGAGUCUUAAUUGGGCGUUAAGUUGCAGGGUAUAGACCCGAAACCCGGUGAUCUAGCCAUGGGCAGGUUGAAGGUUGGGUAACACUAACUGGAGGACCGAACCGACUAAUGUUGAAAAAUUAGCGGAUGACCUGUGGCUGGGGGUGAAAGGCCAAUCAAACCGGGAGAUAGCUGGUUCUCCCCGAAAGCUAUUUAGGUAGCGCCUCGUGAAUUCAUCUCCGGGGGUAGAGCACUGUUUCGGCUAGGGGGCCAUCCCGGCUUACCAACCCGAUGCAAACUGCGAAUACCGGAGAAUGUUAUCACGGGAGACACACGGCGGGUGCUAACGUCCGUCGUGAAGAGGGAAACAACCCAGACCGCCAGCUAAGGUCCCAAAGUCAUGGUUAAGUGGGAAACGAUGUGGGAAGGCCCAGACAGCCAGGAUGUUGGCUUAGAAGCAGCCAUCAUUUAAAGAAAGCGUAAUAGCUCACUGGUCGAGUCGGCCUGCGCGGAAGAUGUAACGGGGCUAAACCAUGCACCGAAGCUGCGGCAGCGACGCUGAUGCGUUGUUGGGUAGGGGAGCGUUCUGUAAGCCUGCGAAGGUGACCUGUGAGGGUUGCUGGAGGUAUCAGAAGUGCGAAUGCUGACAUAAGUAACGAUAAAGCGGGUGAAAAGCCCGCUCGCCGGAAGACCAAGGGUUCCUGUCCAACGUUAAUCGGGGCAGGGUGAGUCGACCCCUAAGGCGAGGCCGAAAGGCGUAGUCGAUGGGAAACGGGUUAAUAUUCCCGUACUUGGUGUUACUGCGAAGGGGGGACGGAGAAGGCUAUGUUGGCCGGGCGACGGUUGUCCCGGUUUAAGCGUGUAGGUGUGUGUUCCAGGUAAAUCCGGUUCACUUUAACACUGAGGCGUGACGACGAGGCACUACGGUGCUGAAGCAACAAAUGCCCUGCUUCCAGGAAAAGCCUCUAAGCAUCAGGUAACAUCAAAUCGUACCCCAAACCGACACAGGUGGUCAGGUAGAGAAUACCAAGGCGCUUGAGAGAACUCGGGUGAAGGAACUAGGCAAAAUGGUGCCGUAACUUCGGGAGAAGGCACGCUGACACGUAGGUGAAGUGAUUUACUCAUGGAGCUGAAGUCAGUCGAAGAUACCAGCUGGCUGCAACUGUUUAUUAAAAACACAGCACUGUGCAAACACGAAAGUGGACGUAUACGGUGUGACGCCUGCCCGGUGCCGGAAGGUUAAUUGAUGGGGUCAGCGCAAGCGAAGCUCCUGAUCGAAGCCCCGGUAAACGGCGGCCGUAACUAUAACGGUCCUAAGGUAGCGAAAUUCCUUGUCGGGUAAGUUCCGACCUGCACGAAUGGCGUAAUGAUGGCCAGGCUGUCUCCACCCGAGACUCAGUGAAAUUGAACUCGCUGUGAAGAUGCAGUGUACCCGCGGCAAGACGGAAAGACCCCGUGAACCUUUACUAUAGCUUGACACUGAACAUUGAGCCUUGAUGUGUAGGAUAGGUGGGAGGCUUUGAAGUGUGGACGCCAGUCUGCAUGGAGCCGACCUUGAAAUACCACCCUUUAAUGUUUGAUGUUCUAACGUGGACCCGUAAUCCGGGUUGCGGACAGUGUCUGGUGGGUAGUUUGACUGGGGCGGUCUCCUCCUAAAGAGUAACGGAGGAGCACGAAGGUUGGCUAAUCCUGGUCGGACAUCAGGAGGUUAGUGCAAUGGCAUAAGCCAGCUUGACUGCGAGCGUGACGGCGCGAGCAGGUGCGAAAGCAGGUCAUAGUGAUCCGGUGGUUCUGAAUGGAAGGGCCAUCGCUCAACGGAUAAAAGGUACUCCGGGGAUAACAGGCUGAUACCGCCCAAGAGUUCAUAUCGACGGCGGUGUUUGGCACCUCGAUGUCGGCUCAUCACAUCCUGGGGCUGAAGUAGGUCCCAAGGGUAUGGCUGUUCGCCAUUUAAAGUGGUACGCGAGCUGGGUUUAGAACGUCGUGAGACAGUUCGGUCCCUAUCUGCCGUGGGCGCUGGAGAACUGAGGGGGGCUGCUCCUAGUACGAGAGGACCGGAGUGGACGCAUCACUGGUGUUCGGGUUGUCAUGCCAAUGGCACUGCCCGGUAGCUAAAUGCGGAAGAGAUAAGUGCUGAAAGCAUCUAAGCACGAAACUUGCCCCGAGAUGAGUUCUCCCUGAGACUUUAGGUCUCCUGAAGGAACGUUGAAGACGACGACGUUGAUAGGCCGGGUGUGUAAGCGCAGCGAUGCGUUGAGCUAACCGGUACUAAUGAACCGUGAGGCUUAACCUUACAACGCCGAAG
RNAcentral lists this ribosomal RNA (3029 nucleotides) under Salmonella enterica subsp. enterica serovar Typhimurium. Its description in RNAcentral is "23S ribosomal RNA". It matches the Rfam family "Bacterial large subunit ribosomal RNA". The record is from RNAcentral. RNAcentral also lists the same sequence under 1 other name. Lineage: Bacteria; Pseudomonadati; Pseudomonadota; Gammaproteobacteria; Enterobacterales; Enterobacteriaceae.